AUUGAACGCUGGCGGCAGGCCUAACACAUGCAAGUCGAGCGGAGGAAGGGUGCUUGCUCCUGGAUUCAGCGGCGGACGGGUGGGCAAGGCCUAGGAAUAUCCCUAGCAGCGGGGGAUAACGUCCGGAAACGGGCGCAAUUACCCUAAUAGCGCUGAGGGAGUACGGGGGGGAGCAGCGGACCUUACGAUAUUGGAUGAGUCAAGGUCCCGAUGUCGGAUUAGCUAGGUGGAGGGGUAAAGGCCCACCAAGGCGACGAUCCGUAGCUGGUCUGAGAGGAUGAUCAGUCACACUGGAACUGAGACACGGUCCAGACUCCUACGGGAGGCAGCAGUGGGGAAUAUUGGACAAUGGGCGAAAGCCUGAUCCAGCCAUGCCGCGUGGGUGAAGAAGGUCUUCGGGUUGUAAAGCACUUUUAGUUGGGAAGAAAAGCAGUAGGUUAAUACCUCGCUGUUCUGACGGUACCAAAAGAAUAAGCACCGGCUAACUUCGUG
Molecule: ribosomal RNA, 492 nt
Filed under: uncultured bacterium
Lineage: Bacteria
Description: partial 16S ribosomal RNA
Rfam family: Bacterial small subunit ribosomal RNA
Source: RNAcentral